This 253-nucleotide ribosomal RNA is filed under the name uncultured bacterium. RNAcentral's name for it is "partial 16S ribosomal RNA". It matches the Rfam family "Bacterial small subunit ribosomal RNA", at positions 524 to 776 of the family's 1533-position model. The record is from RNAcentral.
UACGUAGGUGGCGAGCGUUGUCCGGAUUUAUUGGGCGUAAAGGGCGCGUAGGCGGCGCGGUAUGUCACCUGUGAAAUCUCCUGGCUCAACUGGGAGCUUGCAGGCGAAACUGCCGUGCUGGAGUGUGGGAGAGGUGCGUGGAAUUCCUGGUGUAGCGGUGAAAUGCGUAGAUAUCAGGAGGAACACCUGUGGCGAAAGCGGCGCACUGGACCACAACUGACGCUGAGGCGCGAAAGCUAGGGGAGCAAACAGG